Long non-coding RNA from Cornus florida, 685 nucleotides. RefSeq lists it as uncharacterized. The record is from RefSeq and is a predicted model, not a curated record. Lineage: Eukaryota; Viridiplantae; Streptophyta; Magnoliopsida; Cornales; Cornaceae. The transcript is spliced from 3 exons.
AGGUAAUUGUAGUUUGCCCAAAAGAAUAACCCUAGAACCACAAGUCUACAGUGGCACGUCCUCUUCACUUCUGAUUUGCUGCCCCAUCGGCCGUCCACGGCCCGUGGAUCUCUACUGUAUCGCCGUCAGCUCCCCAAUGCCGAGGCGCUCCCCACUUCCGACUCUGCCGCAAGGUUUGAACAUCGUCGUCUUGGCUCUCCGGUGGGUUCUUUCAGAGUUUUGGAGUUGGAACCAGUCUGUAUUAGUUACCUCCCCAAAAAGUUGAAUUUGUGAAGUUGAAAGAAGGCUCCUGUUGUCAAUAUGGCUCUUCAUGAUCCUGCUGAGAUGGUUCCUCAACAAGAGAGAAAUGCGGUAUAUUGGGCUGAUAGUGUUGCUGGAUAAGGUCCUGGUAUUUAUCCUGGUCCUACCCUGAGGAGGAGAGGUAAUUGUGGUUAGUUUCUGUGUAAGCUUGCGUAAAACACAGGCAAUUUUUCUUGUUGCUGGUUGUUUCAGUAUGCAGCAACUCAUGUUUUUUACCUUUUUUUUUUUUUUUUUUUCGGUGAGUUUUUGACUUGGGUUACCCAUGAUGAAUGGGUGGUAUUGAUUUCCUAUUUCUGGUCUUGGUUAGUUUGCUUUAAAACUUGUUACUGAAUGGUUUAACUUCUGACAACCCAUGCUAUAAUUCAUUGUUUUAUGUUUUUACUUU